Molecule: ribosomal RNA, 1542 nt
Filed under: Triticum aestivum (bread wheat)
Lineage: Eukaryota; Viridiplantae; Streptophyta; Magnoliopsida; Poales; Poaceae
Description: partial small subunit ribosomal RNA
Source: RNAcentral
AUGUUAACGCCAUUGCGCGUGUUGCUGCGGUGCCGUCGGCCGCCGAUCCGCGCCGCCGCCACGUUCUUUACCAGCUCGGGAAGCGCACCCCUCGCGCCUCCUCCUGCGCCUGUGGAGACCGCUGAUGAGUCGGAGCAGGAGGGGUCGCUGGCGCAACGGGUGGAGCGGGCGGCGUCGGCGUGCGCGGCCAUUCGGGGGUGGAUGGCCGCCGGCCGCGCUGUGCAUCGCGGCCACAUCUUCCACGCCAUCAACCGCCUCCGACGCCGCCGCCUCCAUCGCACCGGACUCCAGGUCAUGGAAUGGGUGAUCAGAGAGAGACCCUACAAGCUGAGUGAGCUUGAUUACUCCUAUCUCCUAGAGUUCACAGCUAAAGUUCAUGGCAUUUCUGAAGCCGAGAGCCUCUUCCUCCGUAUACCUCAAGAAUUCCGGAAUGAGCUGCUCUACAAUAACCUUGUAAUGGCUUGUUUGGAGCAGGGCUUGAUUAAGCUUUCAUAUGGUUACAUGAGGAAGAUGAGGGAACUGUCCCUGCCAAUUUCGCCGUAUGUAUACAACCGCUUGAUCAUCCUCCAUUCUUCUGAGGGGCGUAGGAAGACUAUCUCCAAAAUCCUCGCUCAGAUGAAAGCCAGUAGAGUGACCCCCCACACCUCAACCUACAACAUCUUGCUGAAAAUACAGGCCAAUGAGCACAAUAUUGAUGGGGUGGCGAGGGUGUUCAGUGAUAUGAAAAGAGCAAAGAUUGAGCCAAAUGAGAUCACUUAUGGCAUUCUAGCAAUUUCACAUGCUGUAGCAAGGCUAUAUACUGUUUCCCAGACAUACAUAGAAGCCAUCAAGAAUUCUAUGACAGGUACUAACUGGUCUACACAGGAAAUUCUUCUUAUCUUGUAUGGGUACCUUGGAAAGGAACAUGAGCUAAAGAUGACGUGGAAGCUCAUGCAAUGCCUUCCUCAUAUUCGAUCCAAAAGCUUUACACUAGCAAUUGAAGCAUUUGGAAAGGUUAGCUGUGUUGAGCAGGCAGAAGAGAUUUGGCGAGAGAUCAAAUCAACAAGGAAGCUAAAGCUUACAGAACAGUUCAAUUCCAUGUUAUCAGUUUACUGCAGGCAUGGCCUUGUGGAUAAAGCAGCGGCCGUGUUCAAAGAAAUGAGAGCAAGUGGUUGUCAACCAAAUGCUAUUACGUAUCGUCACUUGGCAUUGGGUUGCUUGAAAGCAGGUCUUGUGAAACAAGCUGUGAACACAAUGGAUAUGGGAAAAAAGGAAGUUGUCACAAGGAAGGUGAAAAGUUCAACACCAUGGUUGGAGACCACUCAUUUAUUGCUUGAAAAUUUUGCAGAGAUUGGUGACUUGGAAAAUGCGAAGAAAGUUUUUGCAGAACUGAAUGAAUCAAAGUACUGUAGAAAUUCCUUUGUGUAUAAUACCCUUCUAAAAGCUUAUGUUAAAGCAAAAGUUUAUGAGCCAGAUUUUGUAAAGACGAUGAUUUUGAGAGAUGCAAUGCCUGACGCCGAGACACACAGCCUUCUGAGACUGAUUGAACAGUACAAGACAUGA